UUAAAUUGAAGAGUUUGAUCAUGGCUCAGAUUGAACGCUGGCGGCAGGCCUAACACAUGCAAGUCGAACGGUAACAGGAAGCAGCUUGCUGCUUUGCUGACGAGUGGCGGACGGGUGAGUAAUGUCUGGGAAACUGCCUGAUGGAGGGGGAUAACUACUGGAAACGGUGGCUAAUACCGCAUAACGUCGCAAGACCAAAGAGGGGGACCUUCGGGCCUCUUGCCAUCAGAUGUGCCCAGAUGGGAUUAGCUUGUUGGUGAGGUAACGGCUCACCAAGGCGACGAUCCCUAGCUGGUCUGAGAGGAUGACCAGCCACACUGGAACUGAGACACGGUCCAGACUCCUACGGGAGGCAGCAGUGGGGAAUAUUGCACAAUGGGCGCAAGCCUGAUGCAGCCAUGCCGCGUGUAUGAAGAAGGCCUUCGGGUUGUAAAGUACUUUCAGCGGGGAGGAAGGUGUUGUGGUUAAUAACCGCAGCAAUUGACGUUACCCGCAGAAGAAGCACCGGCUAACUCCGUGCCAGCAGCCGCGGUAAUACGGAGGGUGCAAGCGUUAAUCGGAAUUACUGGGCGUAAAGCGCACGCAGGCGGUCUGUCAAGUCGGAUGUGAAAUCCCCGGGCUCAACCUGGGAACUGCAUUCGAAACUGGCAGGCUUGAGUCUUGUAGAGGGGGGUAGAAUUCCAGGUGUAGCGGUGAAAUGCGUAGAGAUCUGGAGGAAUACCGGUGGCGAAGGCGGCCCCCUGGACAAAGACUGACGCUCAGGUGCGAAAGCGUGGGGAGCAAACAGGAUUAGAUACCCUGGUAGUCCACGCCGUAAACGAUGUCUACUUGGAGGUUGUGCCCUUGAGGCGUGGCUUCCGGAGCUAACGCGUUAAGUAGACCGCCUGGGGAGUACGGCCGCAAGGUUAAAACUCAAAUGAAUUGACGGGGGCCCGCACAAGCGGUGGAGCAUGUGGUUUAAUUCGAUGCAACGCGAAGAACCUUACCUGGUCUUGACAUCCACGGAAGAAUUCAGAGAUGGAUUUGUGCCUUCGGGAACCGUGAGACAGGUGCUGCAUGGCUGUCGUCAGCUCGUGUUGUGAAAUGUUGGGUUAAGUCCCGCAACGAGCGCAACCCUUAUCCUUUGUUGCCAGCGGUUAGGCCGGGAACUCAAAGGAGACUGCCAGUGAUAAACUGGAGGAAGGUGGGGAUGACGUCAAGUCAUCAUGGCCCUUACGACCAGGGCUACACACGUGCUACAAUGGCGCAUACAAAGAGAAGCGACCUCGCGAGAGCAAGCGGACCUCAUAAAGUGCGUCGUAGUCCGGAUUGGAGUCUGCAACUCGACUCCAUGAAGUCGGAAUCGCUAGUAAUCGUGGAUCAGAAUGCCACGGUGAAUACGUUCCCGGGCCUUGUACACACCGCCCGUCACACCAUGGGAGUGGGUUGCAAAAGAAGUAGGUAGCUUAACCUUCGGGAGGGCGCUUACCACUUUGUGAUUCAUGACUGGGGUGAAGUCGUAACAAGGUAACCGUAGGGGAACCUGCGGUUGGAUCACCUCCUUACCUGAAAGAA
RNAcentral lists this ribosomal RNA (1554 nucleotides) under Salmonella enterica subsp. enterica serovar Give. RNAcentral describes it as "bacterial SSU rRNA". It matches the Rfam family "Bacterial small subunit ribosomal RNA". Lineage: Bacteria; Pseudomonadati; Pseudomonadota; Gammaproteobacteria; Enterobacterales; Enterobacteriaceae. The record is from RNAcentral.